GACGAACCGUGCGAACGUUGUUCGGAAUCACUGGGCUUAAAGGGCGCGUAGGCGGCUCGCGAGGUCGGGGGUGAAAUCCUACGGCUUAACCGUAGAAGUGCCUUCGAUACCGGCGGGCUCGAGGAAGGUAGGGGUGCGCGGAACUUCUGGUGGAGCGGUGAAAUGCGUUGAUAUCAGAAGGAACGCCGGCGGCGAAAGCGGCGCACUGGACCUUUUCUGACGCUGAGGCGCGAAAGCCAGGGGAGCAAACGGG
Molecule: ribosomal RNA, 253 nt
Filed under: uncultured bacterium
Lineage: Bacteria
Description: partial 16S ribosomal RNA
Rfam family: Bacterial small subunit ribosomal RNA
Source: RNAcentral